UAUCAGAAUUAUGUUUGCAAUAACCCCGAUGAAAACGGUUGUCAACCUUUCGGGACACGAUUAUAAUGAAUGUUUAUGGAAUGAUAGUUUUAUAAGCAAGUCAACUUUGCAUUAUGGAAGUAUGCAAGAUAAGAGAAAAAUUCUCAAAUUUAGUCGUGGUGCUAAGAGUUAUCGCUUCAAAAGGUACGGAACUUAUCGCUGUGGCAAUAGACGCUCCUGUGGAGAAUAAGCCUUAUACUAACGAGUGGAAUCGCAAAGUCCCUAAGGUAAUCCAAAUUAACACAGUCUGUUUUGAUGCUUGAGAAAUCAGGCUAUAAGGUAAGUCGCUGGUAAAAGUAGCCAUAUGACAGUAUUGAAAACAAAUCUUUUCUUUGUAAUGUAUUAAAAAAAUUUCAAAUGCUGAAUGACUGGUGAAAUUUGUGUAUAACCAAUUACACACAAGCUUUGAGAAUAAUCUACGGUAAGAAACUAUGGGGUCGCUACCUAUAGUUCAGCCUUAUCGUCUUGGUGGCUGAAAAUUGAAGAAGAUAAUGGAGGUAAGGCGAAGGUCUUAUUGUAAACAUAAUUGUGA
RNAcentral lists this non-coding RNA (571 nucleotides) under unclassified sequences. RNAcentral's name for it is "ROOL RNA". It matches the Rfam family "ROOL RNA". From Rfam's summary of the family: Firmicutes, Fusobacteria (1 example), Tenericutes (1 example). The record is from Rfam by way of RNAcentral.